RNAcentral lists this ribosomal RNA (44 nucleotides) under Saccharomyces cerevisiae (brewer's yeast). RNAcentral's name for it is "partial ribosomal RNA". The record is from RNAcentral. RNAcentral also lists the same sequence under 1 other name. Lineage: Eukaryota; Fungi; Ascomycota; Saccharomycetes; Saccharomycetales; Saccharomycetaceae.
AUGCGAAAGCAGUUGAAGACAAGUUCGAAAAGAGUUUGGAAACG